Non-coding RNA from Mycena belliarum, 98 nucleotides. NCBI's taxonomy places the organism in Eukaryota, Fungi, Basidiomycota, Agaricomycetes, Agaricales, Mycenaceae. The record is from the annotation of a GenBank genome assembly.
GACCUUGUAGCCUAGUUGGUAAAGCGCCCUCACGUCGUCCGGCACAAAUUAAGAUUCUUGAGGAUUAAGUAUUGUGGGUUCGAGCCCCGCCAAGGUCU